CCCUUAGAUGUCCUGGGCUGCACGCGCGCUACACUGAUGUGUCCAGUAAGCACCUAACCUCUUCCGAAAGGAACGGGUAACCUUUGCAAAGCACAUCGUGAUGGGGAUAGAUUAUUGCAAUUAUUAGUCUUGAACGAGGAAUUCCUAGUAAGCACAAGUCAUCAAUCUGCAUUGAUUACGUCCCUGCCCUUUGUACACACCGCCCGUCGCACCUACCGAUUGGAUGGUCCGGUGAAGCCUCGGGAUUGUGGUUCUUGCCGCUUUAUUGUGGCGUGACCGCGAGAACUUGUCUAAACCUUAUCAUCUAGAGGAAGGUGAAGUCGUAACA
This 328-nucleotide ribosomal RNA is filed under the name uncultured eukaryote. RNAcentral's name for it is "partial 18S ribosomal RNA". It matches the Rfam family "Eukaryotic small subunit ribosomal RNA", at positions 1470 to 1796 of the family's 1831-position model. The record is from RNAcentral.